CAGUAGCCGCGGUAAUACAGAGGGUGCAAGCGUUAAUCGGAAUUACUGGGCGUAAAGCGCGCGUAGGUGGUUUGUUAAGUUGGAUGUGAAAUCCCCGGGCUCAACCUGGGAACUGCAUCCAAAACUGGCAAGCUAGAGUAUGGUAGAGGGUGGUGGAAUUUCCUGUGUAGCGGUGAAAUGCGUAGAUAUAGGAAGGAACACCAGUGGCGAAGGCGACCACCUGGACUGAUACUGACACUGAGGUGCGAAAGCGUGGGGAGCAAACAGGUUUAGAUACCCCUGUAGUCCCUGUCUCUUAUAA
This 301-nucleotide ribosomal RNA is filed under the name uncultured bacterium. Its description in RNAcentral is "partial 16S ribosomal RNA". It matches the Rfam family "Bacterial small subunit ribosomal RNA", at positions 509 to 809 of the family's 1533-position model. The record is from RNAcentral.